UACGUAGGGUGCGAGCGUUGUCCGGAAUUACUGGGCGUAAAGAGCUCGUAGGUGGCUUGUCGCGUCUGCCGUGAAAGCCCGUGGCUUAACUACGGGUCUGCGGUGGAUACGGGCAGGCUAGAGGCUGGUAGGGGCAAGCGGAAUUCCUGGUGUAGCGGUGAAAUGCGCAGAUAUCAGGAGGAACACCGGUGGCGAAGGCGGCUUGCUGGGCCAGUUCUGACGCUGAGGAGCGAAAGCGUGGGGAGCGAACAGG
RNAcentral lists this ribosomal RNA (253 nucleotides) under uncultured bacterium. RNAcentral's name for it is "partial 16S ribosomal RNA". It matches the Rfam family "Bacterial small subunit ribosomal RNA", at positions 524 to 776 of the family's 1533-position model. The record is from RNAcentral.